CUGAUUUGGGCAGGACUCCAGGUCCUGUCCAGGUAAUUCAGAUGGAUAGGGGGUGUAAAGGGAGGCCAUACCCUUUGCUUCUCCAAAUGGAUUUGAUUAGGCUGAGGAAGAAGAGGAGGCCAUAUUGGAAUGCCUGCUUGUGAAGACUGCUCGGGAGAGGAUCCAAUAAAAAUCCAUUUGUGACCAAACUCACAAUCAAACCUUUGAAAGUAAUGAUGAAAGCCACCCUUCUUCCCCCCACUCACCUGCUGCAUCUUUUAACACGGCAGCACCGAGGCGGUAGUGUUGGGCCGUGAAGGGGUCAGACCUGAGUGGGAAUCCCGGAUUUGCCGUUUCCUGGUGUGUGGCCUCGGGCAACUGCCAGCCUCUCUCCGCCUGCCUUCUCACCUCAGGACAGGGAUGAUAACAGUACACACCUCACCGCAGAGUGGAGAGGCUUUGAGAAGACCAUCUGUGUGCAGUGCAUGGUGCAGUGUUGGCCACAGAGUAAACUCCUUGACCCAGCAUUUCCUUCCUGGGAAGGUUCUAUUUUUACUGAUCACCUUCUUGGCGGACACAUGAAGCCACACAAUGUUCCUGGCAAGUGCCGGCCUCAGAGUGCCAUCAGCC
Molecule: long non-coding RNA, 609 nt
Filed under: Zalophus californianus (California sea lion)
Lineage: Eukaryota; Metazoa; Chordata; Mammalia; Carnivora; Otariidae
Description: lncRNA (ENSZCAG00015007190.1)
Source: RNAcentral